AUUGAACGCUGGCGGCAGGCCUAACACAUGCAAGUCGAACGGUAACAGGGAUCAGCUUGCUGAUUCGCUGACGAGUGGCGGACGGGUGAGUAAUGUCUGGGAAACUGCCUGAUGGAGGGGGAUAACUACUGGAAACGGUAGCUAAUACCGCAUAACGUCGCAAGACCAAAGAGGGGGACCUUCGGGCCUCUUGCCAUCGGAUGUGCCCAGAUGGGAUUAGCUAGUAGGUGGGGUAACGGCUCACCUAGGCGACGAUCCCUAGCUGGUCUGAGAGGAUGACCAGCCACACUGGAACUGAGACACGGUCCAGACUCCUACGGGAGGCAGCAGUGGGGAAUAUUGCACAAUGGGCGCAAGCCUGAUGCAGCCAUGCCGCGUGUAUAAAGAAGGCCUUCGGGUUGUAAAGUACUUUCAGCGGGGAGGAAGGGAGUAAAGUUAAUACCUUUGCUCAUUGACGUUACCCGCAGAAGAAGCACCGGCUAACUCCGUG
RNAcentral lists this ribosomal RNA (490 nucleotides) under uncultured bacterium. RNAcentral's name for it is "partial 16S ribosomal RNA". It matches the Rfam family "Bacterial small subunit ribosomal RNA", at positions 30 to 507 of the family's 1533-position model. The record is from RNAcentral.